Molecule: ribosomal RNA, 253 nt
Filed under: uncultured bacterium
Lineage: Bacteria
Description: partial 16S ribosomal RNA
Rfam family: Bacterial small subunit ribosomal RNA
Source: RNAcentral
UACGAAGGGUGCAAGCGUUACUCGGAAUUACUGGGCGUAAAGCGCGUGUAGGCGGCUUGGCAAGUCGGGUGUGAAAGCCCCGGGCUCAACCUGGGAAGUGCACUCGAAACUGCUUGGCUUGAGUACUGGAGAGGGAAGCGGAAUUCUCGGUGUAGAGGUGAAAUUCGUAGAUAUCGAGAGGAACACCGGUGGCGAAGGCGGCUUCCUGGACAGUUACUGACGCUGAGACGCGAAAGCGUGGGGAGCAAACAGG